CGCAAGGGUGACGAAGCGACGCCGCGUGCGGGAAGAAGGCCUUCGGGUUGUAAACCGCUGUCGGGAGUUAAGAAGUGCAGGGAUGUUAAUAGCAUCCUUGCUUGACUAAGGCUCCGGAGGAAGCCACGGCUAACUCUGUGCCAGCAGCCGCGGUAAUACAGAGGCGGCAAGCGUUGUUCGGAAUUAUUGGGCGUAAAGAGCACGUAGGCGGCCGUGUAAGUCGGUUGUGAAAGCCUUCCGCUCAACGGAAGGACGGCAUCCGAUACUGCAUGGCUCGAGUGCGGGAGGGGAGAGUGGAACUUC
Molecule: ribosomal RNA, 303 nt
Filed under: uncultured Candidatus Brocadia sp.
Lineage: Bacteria; Pseudomonadati; Planctomycetota; Candidatus Brocadiia; Candidatus Brocadiales; Candidatus Brocadiaceae
Description: bacterial SSU rRNA
Rfam family: Bacterial small subunit ribosomal RNA
Source: RNAcentral